This is a long non-coding RNA of Xyrauchen texanus (razorback sucker), 162 nucleotides long. RefSeq lists it as uncharacterized. The transcript has 3 exons. The record is from RefSeq and is a predicted model, not a curated record. NCBI's taxonomy places the organism in Eukaryota, Metazoa, Chordata, Actinopteri, Cypriniformes, Catostomidae.
CCUUCAUACACAUGAGAAUUAUUGUAUUGUGGAAGAAGUUUUGGAGGUCUUCCACAUGGAGUGCUACAGGGAGACAUGUGCGCUGUGGCCUGUGAAUAUUGUCAUUCUGUAGCCUUCGGAAGAGUCGCAGGGGUGAUGGUCGGACUCACGUUUAUCGCCGAA